UGCCCCUGAAGGUCCGUCGAAGACUACGACGUUGAUAGGCUGGGUGUGUAAGCGCGGUAACGCGUUGAGCUAACCAGUACUAAUUGACCGUGCGGCUUGGCCAU
This 104-nucleotide ribosomal RNA is filed under the name Gammaproteobacteria bacterium. RNAcentral describes it as "partial 23S ribosomal RNA". It matches the Rfam family "Bacterial large subunit ribosomal RNA", at positions 2822 to 2925 of the family's 2925-position model. Lineage: Bacteria; Pseudomonadati; Pseudomonadota; Gammaproteobacteria. The record is from RNAcentral.